This 28-nucleotide small RNA is filed under the name Bombyx mori (domestic silkworm). Its description in RNAcentral is "ovarian small RNA-17179". The record is from RNAcentral. Lineage: Eukaryota; Metazoa; Arthropoda; Insecta; Lepidoptera; Bombycidae.
GGAAAUUGUAACCUAACCUUUGAGGAGC